Molecule: ribosomal RNA, 484 nt
Filed under: uncultured bacterium
Lineage: Bacteria
Description: partial 16S ribosomal RNA
Rfam family: Bacterial small subunit ribosomal RNA
Source: RNAcentral
AUUGAACGCUGGCGGCAGGCCUAACACAUGCAAGUCGAGCGGAUGAAGGGAGCUUGCUCCUGGAUUCCGCGGCGGGCGGGUGAGUAAUGCGUACGAAUCUCCCUGGUAGUGGGGGAUAACGUCCGGAAGCGGGCGCAAAUCCCGCAUACGUCCUGAGGGGGAUAGUGGGGGAUUUUAAGCCCCCACGCUAUCAGAUGAGCCUGGGUCGGAUUAGCUAGUUGGUGGGGUAAAGGCUUACCAAGUCGACGAUCCGUAACUGAUCUGAGAGGAUGAUCAGUCACACCGGAACGGUAACACGGCACAGACUCCUAAGGGAGGGAGCAGAGGGGAAUAGUAGACAAGGGGCGAAAGCCUGAUCCAGCCAAGCCGCGUGUGUGAAGGAGGGCUUCGGAUUGUAAAGCACUAUAAGUUGGGAGGAAGGGCAGUAAGUUAAUACCUAGCUGUUUUGACGUUACCAACAGAAUAAGCACCGGCUAACUUCGUG